This 497-nucleotide ribosomal RNA is filed under the name uncultured bacterium. RNAcentral's name for it is "partial 16S ribosomal RNA". It matches the Rfam family "Bacterial small subunit ribosomal RNA", at positions 28 to 507 of the family's 1533-position model. The record is from RNAcentral.
GAUGAACGCUGGCGGCGUGCCUAAUACAUGCAGGUCGAGCGAACAGACGAGGAGCUUGCUCCUCUGACGUUAGCCGCGGACGGGUGAGUAACACGUGGAUAACCUACCUAUCAGACUGGGAUAACUUCGGGAAACCGGCGCUAAUACCGGAUAACAUGUUGCACCGCAUGGUUCAACAGUGAAAGACGGUCUUGCUGUCUCUUAUAGAUGCUUCCGCGCUGCAUUAGCUAGUUGGUAAGGUAACGGCUUACCAAGGCAACGAUGCGUAGCCGAACUGAGAGGGUGAUCGGCCACACGAGAACUGAGACACGGUCCAGACUCCUACGGGAGGCAGCAGUCGGGAAUCUUACGCAAUGGGCGAAAACCUGACGGAGCAACGCCGCGUGAGUGAAGAAGGUCUUCGGAUCGUAAAACUCUGUUAUUAGGGAAGAACAGAUGUGUAAGUAACUAUGCACGUCUUGACGGUACCUGAUCAGAAAGCCACGGCUAACUACGUG